CUAGUUUCAGGUGUUUAUUUUACUCUUGCAACGUUAGGUUAGUCCACACCAGGCCAGAGAGACCGUAACACUCAGAUUGACAAGUGCAAUAUUUUACCCCGUCUUGACUAAACUUUGAACAUGAAGUAGUUACAAGAAGUCUACCUGGGUUUGUCAAUGAAGAUGGAAAUAUACCCCAUGGGAGCUUUUUCUUGAAAUUAAGCUCACAGCAUUUUUAAGAAUGGAAUGGGACGUCUUUACAUUUUUCAAAGCAGACGUCAUCAUGGCCCGUGUAUACAAACAUGAAACAAGCAGGGGUCUAACCCCCCUUGAGAGCAGCCAAGAAAGUGAGAGAAGAGAAGAAGUCCAUUCGGCAGCAGCAAGGGAUGAAAAAAUAGACUGAAUGACACUGAAGAGGCGAGGUGGUUCCUGGUCUCCUAACUGAUGCUGUCCCCAACGACACACCUCCACCCCCUUGGACAUCGAGCGGAGCCCGUUGUACGCUGUCAGAUCCCUACUGGACUCCCAACAUCAUGGGGGUCGGUUCCAGUAUCUGGUGGACUGGGAGGGGUAUGGUCCAAAGGAGUGGCAUUGGAUUCCGGUGGAGGACAUUCUGUACCCCAACAUCAUCCAUGAAUUCCACCUUUGCCACUCGGACCGACCCACUCCUCAUCCUCGGGGUCGUCCCCUUGGUUGGUGUCGUCCUUCGGCUGGAGCCGCACAUCAGAGUGGGUUACUGUCACAUCUGCUCCUCCCCUCUGGCAUAUGACGUCGCCAGAGUACUAACCACCGUUCCUGGGAUUCAUCAUUACGCACACCUGGCACUCAUUAUGCACACCUGUAAAUCAUUAAGAUUCACACCUGGACUCCCUUACCUUCAUUUCCUCCCCUUUAUGUCACACUCCCAUGUUCACUCAGCAGUUGGUAUUGUACUUGUGUAUCGGUGUACUGCCUUAUGUUAGUGUCUUGUUCUUGCUUUUGUUGUUUUAUUAAAACGUUGCACCUGC
This is a long non-coding RNA of Salmo salar (Atlantic salmon), 986 nucleotides long. RefSeq lists it as uncharacterized. Lineage: Eukaryota; Metazoa; Chordata; Actinopteri; Salmoniformes; Salmonidae. The record is from RefSeq and is a predicted model, not a curated record.